UGCUACCUGUAAAUACUCUUCAUACUACCUUGGAUCUGUGACCCAGAACUGGGAAGGGAGCAAAAGAGUUGGCAGCUGACAACCUUUCCAGCACUGUAUAGAGAAGGAAAAAAAUCAGUAUACUGAUACAUUGAAAAAGUCCAAAAAAUGUGCAGCAUAUAACACCUGUGAUCCUCCCACCUCCACUAAGGGAUUACAUUUCAAUGCAAAUUUAAUAUUAAGCUCAGAUUUUCAGUGUUGGUCACCUUGGACUGCAUCCUGACCUCCAACUGCUCUUCAAAAUUUCCUCCUCCUUUUCUAGAGGGUGCAAAAUGCAUUAUUAAUAUUUCCUUUGCUCUGUAUUGGAAACUGGCUUCAAAUAAUGGCUAUAUGAAUUGUUAAAUUAAACUAUUAUGUGCCUUGGAGU
RNAcentral lists this long non-coding RNA (406 nucleotides) under Monodelphis domestica (gray short-tailed opossum). RNAcentral describes it as "lncRNA (ENSMODG00000035742.2)". Lineage: Eukaryota; Metazoa; Chordata; Mammalia; Didelphimorphia; Didelphidae. The record is from RNAcentral.